Molecule: long non-coding RNA, 581 nt
Organism: Lytechinus pictus (painted urchin)
Lineage: Eukaryota; Metazoa; Echinodermata; Echinoidea; Temnopleuroida; Toxopneustidae
Exons: 2
Source: RefSeq, a predicted model, not a curated record
AGGGAUGCCACUUUUCCGUAUUUAUACGGAAUUCCGGCUUUUUUCCUGCUAUCUGUCUUAUUUCCGUAUUUCCGACUUUUCCUGUUUUCUGUGUAUUAAAAAAAACGGAAAGUCCUCCUUUUUUCCCCCUAUUUCUUCCGAUUGCGAUGCAUGUCGAUCGACCGAGUGAGAGAUAUUCCCCCGAGAUAUUUGCUUUUAUACAGUACAUAAAUUAUAAACGCGCGCACUGCCUACUACGUUCAUUGAGUUAUGCUUUUAUCAAGGCUUUCUGAUUAGAAUUAUCGAUAUCCUGGCCAAUCAAUGCGAGCGACAAGUUCCAAACGCACGCACAUAGACAAGCACAAAGUAGCGGCACGAAUCGCGGUAUAAUAGCGACUGAUAAAUACGUCUGUACAGAUGAUGACGUCAUCCAAGAUGGCAACUUACGAUGACCAACGAAGGAAUCGAGGAUGACUAAGUUUUGAUCAUCAUUUGAAAGGAAUUAGCGGUAACUGCGGUCUAAGCGUUCUAUGAGAAACACACAACUAACUACCGUCAGUUUUUCAAACCUAAUUGACUUCAAAGUCAUCGAUCACAACAAG